UACACCCCACCCCACCCCAAUCCCUCCAGCCGCCACUGCCCCACCCAUGUUUCUCCUCCACCCCCUCCUCUCUCUCCUCUCCUCCCUCCUCAUCCGCGCGCGCACAUCACCCAGCGCUCGCGUGCUCGCCUCCCGGACCAGUCACUGCCGCGCCGCUGGGGCUCGUCCGCCGCGGGUUUCCACGGGGAAGGAGCCGCGACGGGGGUAGGCCCCAGGCGGUGCACACUUCAUGGGGAGGCAAGGAACUAGGAGGCGAUGGGGUCGGAUCUGGUGGUGCUAGGUCGGAGCUCGAUCCCCCGCCUCCCGAACCAGCCGUCGCCGCGUCGCUGGGGCUCGUCCGCCGCGGGUUUCCAUGGGGAAUCACCACAACAGCAGCACGCCUCCCUCCUUCCUCCUCAUCGCCAGAGCCGCCGCACCUCUCCUUCCUCCUCGCUCUCACCCUUGCCGCGGCGCGCAUCCCUCCCCUUUCGAUCUAAUUUCAUUCUUGUUUCACAUGUUGGUUUGGUUGGCAAGAGACGUUGCAGCGCCGACUGCAGUAGCCAGGGUUGGCGUUGGUGAUGUCUGUAGGUAUUUUCGUCCUUGCUAGUCACACAUUUCCUAGGUUAUGGGAUUGGAUAUCCGUUUUCUAAGAUUCUUAGCUGAUAAGUAUAUUGUGCGGAAAAGUCUCUACAGAAUGAUGUUGUGCACAUCCAAAUCCAAGCAAUCUGGAUACUCCAUGGGGCAAAGUUGAAGCUUUGUACAUCACUUCUCUCCCUUUGUUUAUUAACGUUUCUUCAUGUUUGGAAGUGAUAUGGGUUUCCAUGUACUUGAUAGAUGCAUUCCUUAUCUUUAUGUGUUUCAUCUAUGUAUAUAUGUUUCUGCCCAUAAAUGUAUUUAUGAGCUGACUCCAUUUUUUACCGCUUUUCUGUGGCAAUUUGAAAAGGACCCUUCCAUGGUGCUCAGCCACCGUCCGAUUUCGAGGGAGAAUAGGAGACACCGACGAAAGCGAGUGUCCUAGCGGCGAACCCAAGGAUGCGUGGUGAUUAUGCCAGCUCCAUGCUCCAGUUCUUCUAUUGGGGGUUCGCUCAAUUCAUGUGCUUGGGAUUUGUUUUGAUUGACGGACCUUAAAGCUAAUGCAAUAAUGCAUGAACUUGCCAAAAGAAAACCAAAUAUGCACCAUGUCGAUAUGCUUCAUGACGAAACCACUUGCUUUCAUAUGUAUUGGACUACUGCAUCAUCGUCUUCGUCAAUGGGAGGAUGAAAUCAGUAGUAGCACCAGCCCGCUAGCGAGGAAGGCUGCUCGGAUCUGCUGUCGUGCCCACCUACAACUUCUGUAGGUUGUUCGACCACUUAGAGAACUUCUGGUGGCCAUAAGCAAUCUUAGUUGCUCACUGUGAUAAUCUGAAUGUAUGCAGUUUCCCUCUUUGCAUGUGUGCUUCCGUGUCUUUCCUGGUAUAUUCUCAGUCUAUGGAAUGGUCAUAUUAGGCAUGUAGUUUAUUUUAUUUUUUGUAUAAAAGCUUGGUACUAACAUACAAAUAUGAUUAUUUUUUCAAUUUCUCAAUGUGGUGACCAUAUUUUCAACUAUGAAAAUGCUUCCUUAACUGGUCUA
Triticum aestivum (bread wheat) is the source of this 1588-nucleotide long non-coding RNA. RefSeq lists it as uncharacterized. The record is from RefSeq and is a predicted model, not a curated record. The transcript is spliced from 5 exons. NCBI's taxonomy places the organism in Eukaryota, Viridiplantae, Streptophyta, Magnoliopsida, Poales, Poaceae.